Long non-coding RNA from Peromyscus maniculatus bairdii (prairie deer mouse), 871 nucleotides. RefSeq lists it as uncharacterized. Lineage: Eukaryota; Metazoa; Chordata; Mammalia; Rodentia; Cricetidae. The record is from RefSeq and is a predicted model, not a curated record.
AAAGGUGGAGUGAGGGAGACACCAGACUGCCAUCCUAGGAGCAACAUGGAAUGGGAUGCAGGUUUCUGGAAUGAUGUUCAACACGUGACAAAUGCUGGACACAUAUGCAUGGAACCAGUGAAUUAUAUGAGUACCUGGAUAAAGAGGCUGUUGACCGAUGUGCUCUAAGCCCCAGACAUCUGGAGAGGGAACAAAGUCUUUGGUGUGAAAAAGAAGCAGACUUGAGACUAUCUACUGCUAUUUCUUAAUACAACUGAUGGAGGCAGAUGCAGAGACCCACAGUCAAACAUCUCCUUUCUUUAAAGAGAAGUGGAUGGUGGCUGUUGUUCCUUUCCAUCACUACAUGGCAUUUCUAAGGCGCCUGGCAUAGGAAACCACUUCUGAUGAGACUAUGUCAACAUUGUGCCUGAAUUUAAUAGGUAAGUCUAUUGUUUGCCCAGGGAAAAAAAGCAGUUGUCUCUGUGUGAUAUUUGUGUCUGAUUAAAAAUAGGAGUUUUUUUUCUCGAAUUUCAAGCUCUGGUUCAUAGCAGAGAAAGGUUUCUGCUAUGGUUAUUAGAUGGAGAUAUGUUGGCCUUCUUUUCUCUGACAACUUUAGCACAAGCCUUCUAAACAUAAAAACAAUACACCCCUACCUGAGAUGUUAGUUCUAUUUCUUUAACAUAGAUUGUCAUAUGACAAAGAAUUCAAAAGAAGCCUUGGUAAAUACUUUUUUUUUCUUUGCAUCCUUUAGAAUUGAGAUGACUUGGGCUAGACAGAAGUAAAGGAAAGUAUUUCAUAGUGGUUAGUAGACAAAAACUGCUGUGGAUAUUGUUCUAUAUAAAUAAAACACUGGUGGCCAGUGACGAGGCAGGAAGUAGGUGGGACUAGGAGA